UGCGCCGCUGCCGCUCCUCUCUCGGAGAGUCAAAGAGGGAAAGCCCAGCUUCCCGGCCGGCAUCUCGCCUGCCUGCGUGCCUCCUCCAUUUGCGAAGCAGAGUUCGUCUGCCUCGGUCGCAUCGACGGGUUGGCGGUCCCUGCCGCCGCCGUUGCCGUGACUCUGUUCACAGUGCGAGGUACGCUAACCAGAACCUCCUGAUCUGCUUGCCGUUGCUAGCGUCAGACACACCGUCGUCGCCUUUUGUGAGCCGGACGGCAGCUGCUGUCCGGAGUUUGUGAGGCAACGGGAAGUGCGUGAAUCCCGCUGCGUGCACUGUUUCUGUCGCCCGGUUUCGAAGGGGCUGGCCCGUCGUCGCACCUCGUCCGGUAGUUCGUGAAACGCCGUUCAGAGGAGAAGGUGUGUGCGGUCUGUCGCGGAUGAUUCUUCUGCCGGUGUUUUUGGCGUGACGGUGGUGUGGGGUUCGGCAGUCCUGCCGGCGUCCGAAAUUGCGUUCCGUCGCGUCGCCGUCCCUUGACCGCGUCGGAGGCACUUGCGACGACGUCCGCGAAACCGUGACCGGCGAAGCGCAUUGACUUUGGAUUUGACACCAGAGACUACGAGCCGAAACUCAAGAGCUACAGCGUCGGAGCGAACGCAGCAUCGUUUACGAACCGACCCUCAAGGCUUUCCAAGAAGGUGACAGAGACGUUGACCGUCAUCACAAGGGGUGGAAGACUCAAGGAAACGAGACAUCAUUGUGUCCGCAACACAGUUUCCAUCAGCGCCUUCGCGUCGGCGUGCCUUGCUGGACAAGAUUCUUGUGACGUGAAAUUCAAGACGCAACGAACCUGGCGCCUCGUUGUGCAAGGAACCGAUGCCUUGGAACAGAAAAGAGGAGCACCUUCGCUUCAGUAACAACGUCCUCAUAAAAGGCGAGGCCUCGGCAUCGGCAUUGGUGGCGGCAGCUUCCGCGGCUUCCUGCUGCGGCGGCGGCGAUCGGCCAAGGAAGGCGAAGCGGCGGCGGCGGCCGGUCCCGGCGGUGCGCUGGCUUCCUCGCGCCACCACGCGCA
RNAcentral lists this unclassified non-coding RNA (1052 nucleotides) under Dermacentor andersoni. RNAcentral describes it as "uncharacterized LOC126536276". The record is from RNAcentral. Lineage: Eukaryota; Metazoa; Arthropoda; Arachnida; Ixodida; Ixodidae.